This 1068-nucleotide ribosomal RNA is filed under the name Salmonella enterica. RNAcentral describes it as "partial 23S ribosomal RNA". It matches the Rfam family "Bacterial large subunit ribosomal RNA", at positions 161 to 1269 of the family's 2925-position model. The record is from RNAcentral. RNAcentral also lists the same sequence under 2 other names. Lineage: Bacteria; Pseudomonadati; Pseudomonadota; Gammaproteobacteria; Enterobacterales; Enterobacteriaceae.
AAUCCAUAGGUUAAUGAGGCGAACCGGGGGAACUGAAACAUCUAAGUACCCCGAGGAAAAGAAAUCAACCGAGAUUCCCCCAGUAGCGGCGAGCGAACGGGGAGGAGCCCAGAGCCUGAAUCAGCAUGUGUGUUAGUGGAAGCGUCUGGAAAGGCGCGCGAUACAGGGUGACAGCCCCGUACACAAAAGCGCAUGUGCUGUGAGCUCGAUGAGUAGGGCGGGACACGUGGUAUCCUGUCUGAAUAUGGGGGGACCAUCCUCCAAGGCUAAAUACUCCUGACUGACCGAUAGUGAACCAGUACCGUGAGGGAAAGGCGAAAAGAACCCCGGCGAGGGGAGUGAAAAAGAACCUGAAACCGUGUACGUACAAGCAGUGGGAGCACCCUUUGGGUGUGACUGCGUACCUUUUGUAUAAUGGGUCAGCGACUUAUAUUCUGUAGCAAGGUUAACCGAAUAGGGGAGCCGGAGGGAAACCGAGUCUUAACCGGGCGUUAAGUUGCAGGGUAUAGACCCGAAACCCGGUGAUCUAGCCAUGGGCAGGUUGAAGGUUGGGUAACACUAACUGGAGGACCGAACCGACUAAUGUUGAAAAAUUAGCGGAUGACCUGUGGCUGGGGGUGAAAGGCCAAUCAAACCGGGAGAUAGCUGGUUCUCCCCGAAAGCUAUUUAGGUAGCGCCUCGUGAAUUCAUCUCCGGGGGUAGAGCACUGUUUCGGCUAGGGGGCCAUCCCGGCUUACCAACCCGAUGCAAACUGCGAAUACCGGAGAAUGUUAUCACGGGAGACACACGGCGGGUGCUAACGUCCGUCGUGAAGAGGGAAACAACCCAGACCGCCAGCUAAGGUCCCAAAGUCAUGGUUAAGUGGGAAACGAUGUGGGAAGGCCCAGACAGCCAGGAUGUUGGCUUAGAAGCAGCCAUCAUUUAAAGAAAGCGUAAUAGCUCACUGGUCGAGUCGGCCUGCGCGGAAGAUGUAACGGGGCUAAACCAUGCACCGAAGCUGCGGCAGCGACACUGUGUGUUGUUGGGUAGGGGAGCGUUCUGUAAGCCUGUGAAGGUGUGUCGUGAGGC